UGGGGAAUCUUGCACAAUGGGCGAAAGCCUGAUGCAGCAACGCCGCGUGCGGGAAGAAGGCCUUAGGGUUGUAAACCGCUUUCAGCAGGGAAGAAAAUGACGGUACCUGUAGAAGAAGGUGCGGCCAACUACGUGCCAGCAGCCGCGGUGACACGUAGGCACCAAGCGUUGUCCGGAUUUAUUGGGCGUAAAGAGCUUGUAGGCGGUUCGGUUAGUCGGGUGUGAAACCUCUGGGCUCAACUCAGAGACGCCACCCGAUACUGCUGUGACUAGAGUGCGGUAGGGGAGCGGGGAAUUCCUGGUGUAGCGGUGAAAUGCGCAGAUAUCAGGAGGAACACCAGUGGCGAAGGCGCCGCUCUGGGCCGUAACUGACGCUGAGAAGCGAAAGCGUGGGGAGCAAACA
RNAcentral lists this ribosomal RNA (403 nucleotides) under uncultured bacterium. Its description in RNAcentral is "bacterial SSU rRNA". It matches the Rfam family "Bacterial small subunit ribosomal RNA", at positions 355 to 774 of the family's 1533-position model. The record is from RNAcentral.